RNAcentral lists this long non-coding RNA (19583 nucleotides) under Zea mays. Its description in RNAcentral is "long non-coding RNA (ZMAY_LNC003058)". Lineage: Eukaryota; Viridiplantae; Streptophyta; Magnoliopsida; Poales; Poaceae. The record is from RNAcentral.
UGCGGCUUGGCACCAGCUUUGCUCCUAUAUAGCUAACAAAUCACAGGGUGGGGUUAGCUUUCCUGCUAAGACCAUGGAAGAAGCGGUGUUUUCUUCUUCUUGAGUGUUUCCGAUGUACUCUGGACAUGACGUGCGGCGAGAAACAGACCUAGAUAAACAGAACAGAGACAGAGAUGUAAAACUUACUUUAGAAAUAUUGGGAGGAGCCUUGUUAUAAGUACCAAAAGUUCACAGCAAACUAUUGGAAGCGGGGGACUAAAAUGUCCACAAGGCCACCCAGCCAAAAACACAUAGAACAAAGGAUAAAACAUUACAGAAACAGAUCCAACUAUUAAAGGGCGAACAACACUGGUUGAUGCUUCUAAGCGGUUGCUCUUGUUUUCAGGAGCCACCUUAUUUGGUCUUCCAGAAAUGAACAUGCAUAUUUUGUCUAAAAAAUAUAAAUCUUUACUACUCUAUAAGUCCUUAUUGUAGGCGUGCACAUGUGCGCGUGUUCUGCCUCCCGCGAUCUUGCUCAUGAUAUUCCAGCCCCGCCGCCGCCAUCCCCGCCCCCAUCCGUGACACCCCACCAUCACCGCCGCGCCACACGCGACAACUCCAUCCCCCGUCCGCACCCCUACCCCGAGCAUCACAGCGCCUCCCGCACGAGGUCGUUGCGCUUGUCGAUCUGAUGGCGGCCCAUGGCAAAGGAGCAGGUCAGUCCCGUCCCCUAGCCUUUCCCGACUCCUCCCCUCUGCCUCACUCCAUCGUCGUCGUUGGGCCCGGGUCCAGAGGCGGAAGGCUAGGUGGGGGCAAACCCUAACCCCUCCCUUUUCUUCCAGCCGCCGCAACCUCUAUUCUCCCUCUGCCCCUCGAUAGCGCUCCCGUCGAUGCCCACCUCUCUCUUCUGCAGGCGGUGAUGGCAGCCACAGCAGAAAGCCGACGCUCGGCGUGAUUCCCACCCGUCGCGAGCCAAGAGGUUCGAGGUCAUUUUUGAGCCAAGAGGUUCGCGGCCACGGGAGCAACCCUACAGAACCAUCACCACCACCGCUCUCUCUUCCUCUGCUCUUCAAUGCCUGCCUGAGCUCACCGCACCUCGCCUCCUCACCGCGGAUCCUCCGUUAAUCCGGUAACUCUCUCACCAUCUCUGCAUUCACCCUAGAGUCCCUCUCUGCCUGCUCCUGCCAGCGCGUGGCGCGGGGGCGUGGUGCGGCUCUCCAAGAUUCGCCUAGCAUUGCUCGCUCGGGGUCGUGCCAAGCCGAUUCGAUCUCGCGCUUGCGCACUCCUACCGUGGAUCCGGCUAGAUCUUGCUAGAAUUGGGGCGUGCGUUUAUUUCAAAUGCAGCAGAUCCGCGUGCUUGCGCGCGUGAUCUGGCGUCGUCGCGGGCCUUUCGUUAACGAAAUGCAUGGCCCGAUCUGUGGUUUGGUGGUCAAUGCCAUGUUUUUUUUUCUUACUGUCUUCUGCUGGGAGCAAAACAGAAACAGAGAAUAGCUUCAAUUGAUGCCUUUUAGAACGGAUUCUGUAGAGCAACUCAUGGACACUUUCUUCUUGUUUUAACAAACGUGGCAUCGGGCGAGCUCUGGUGUAGGUAGAAAAUGGCCGAUGCCGAGGAUAUCCAGCCCCUCGUCUGCGACAACGGAACUGGCAUGGUCAAGGUAAGCCACCGGUUUGGUCACAUCUGUUCUUGAGAAUGCAAGGUUCUCGGUGGCUGCUGGGGCCCUAACAACAACACCAACCUCGGCAGGCUGGGUUCGCUGGCGACGACGCCCCGAGGGUCGUCUUCCCCAGCAUCGUGGGGCGCCCGCGCCACAUUGGUGUCAUGGUCGGGAUGGGGCAGAAGGACGCCUACGUCGGUGACGAGGUGCAGUCCAAGAGGGGUAUCCUGACCCUCAAGUACCUCAGCUUACACAUCACAUUAUUCCCCACAUUACAGCAAUCAGUGCAACAAUCAGAGCAUUUAUUUAGGUAUCCUGCAAGUAGUAGUAGUGUUAUGCGUGUUCUAAUAUUCUAUGUCACAAAUGUAAAUCAUUUUAUUAAUUGGGCACAAAAUCUUUACUACUCUAUAAGUCCUUAUUGUAGGCGUGCACAUGUGCGCGUGUUCUGCCUCCCGCGAUCUUGCUCGUGAUAUUCCAGCCCCGCCGCCGCCAUCCCCGCCCCCAUCCGUGACACCCCACCAUCACCGCCGCGCCACACGCGACAACUCCAUCCCCCGUCCGCACCCCUACCCCGAGCAUCACAGCGCCUCCCGCACGAGGUCGUUGCGCUUGUCGAUCUGAUGGCGGCCCAUGGCAAAGGAGCAGGUCAGUCCCGUCUGUAACACCCGGUUUUAAGGAACCAAGCCGGGUGCAUCUCAUACAUGCGCCAAGAAGACAACAUAUACAAUAACAGAGUGUAUAGAGAUAAAUGUCAUAAAACAUCAGAGUAUUUAUUACAUAGCGGAAGUCUUAUUACAAAAUAAAAUAAUAAAGAUAAAGCGAACUAAGGAUCGCCAGCGCCAAUGUCGACCGAGACACGCCACCUAGAUCAGAUCGAACUCCUCAGUGUUAGGCGGCUCCUCUUCGACCACCUGCUCUUCUCCUGUGGGGGGGGGGGGUGUGAGACAGCAAGAGUGAGCUCACAUACGUUCAUCGCUCAACAAGUUGUGGGGAAUAAUGUGGCAUAAACUCACCAAAGGUGGGAGUUCAUGUAGUGUAAGGCUGAUCAAUGAAACAGAGGUUGAGGCUGAGCAUUGCUUUUAUAAGUUGGUCAAAAUUUUAUUAGCAAUUACUAAGUGUAAGUAAAUACCAAACCUUAAUAAUAAUAAAGAACAGUAAUAGUAAAAUAAUCCCAAAUGCGAUGCAAAUGUCAAAUUGAAUUUAAGUUCCAUAAUUAAUCAUGUGAGGGUCCGAGCCGCUCUUGACCGUGAGCACGGCUAGUAUACUAGUUUUACACUCUGCAGAGGUUGCGCAUCUUUACCCACAAGUCGUGUAUCCCAUGUCGCCUGGGUUUGCAAGGCCCUUAGACACUACCGAGGUGAAUGGCUAGGGAUCCACUACGAGGCCUUUACAAAGUUCCACUAGCUUCCGAAAACCCGCUACAGUUUAUAGGAAGAUCCAGUACAGGGUUCCUGGCUGACAGCCAUCGCAGCAAAAUCAACCAGGGACCUCCCCGCACUGACCUCUCCCCUACUGCCCUUGCCCCUUUCGGGUAAGGUAGUCUUCCACUAGCUUUCCUAAUUAGUCAGCCAAGGGCGUCCCAUUAUACCCUUGUGGUAGCACUGUUUUCCUGGGUGGUCGCUCCAUGUUCCCAUUAAUUUAAUGAUCUUAACAUGAACAAUAAUAAUAACAAGUUAAUAACAGAAUAAUCAUGAAUAGUGUAUCUCCAUACCCAAUCCACAUAAAGCAAUAGCAAGUACUACCCAAAAAUAUUUCAGGGGUGAACAAGGUAUAGAGGUAAUCAAAACUGGGGUAACAUAAAGGCUCCCAUCAAAAUUAUCCUAUGCAGAUCAUUAAAAUUAAUAAGAACAUGGCUGGGAAAGUAAGUGAUCAAGGGCACAACUUGCCUUCAAUGAGCUCCUGCUCAGCUACUUCUACCUGCUGAACCUCAGUUUCCACAGUGGCUUGCUCGUCUAUUCGCAUCAACACAAUACAUACAUAGUAUAGCAUAAAUUAACAUCACAUCAAACAUGUAAAUAAAAUAUACAGUAAAAAUCUACACAUUAAAAUGAGAUCAUUGGAACUGGAAUUAUUAAAUUUGGAGUUAUAGAUUUCAAGUUAUGAAUUUCCUAAGGUUUAAUGUGAUUAAAAUAGGAUUAGAUGAUAAAUUAAUUUUCUAACUGAGUUCAUGUCAAAACAGUGAUACUAAAUGAUAGAGAAUCUUAUUACAAAAUUUUAGAAAUUGGAAUGGUUCAAUUUGGAGCUAAAAUGAAUUUUCUAUGAAUUUUACAAGUUUCUAGAUUUGUUUUUGUAUUAAAAAUGAAUUUCUAAUAUUAUUUCUCUGUUUUUAAACGUCUCUGGACUGGGCCUCAUUUUGCAGAAAGGUCAGGGGCUAGCGCAGAAGAUUCCCUAGACUCAGUAAAUAGUGAAUGAGGAUGGCGGGUUUAUUCUAAAGUAACAGAGGGUCUUUUCUGUGAAAUGUGUAUGGCGAAGGGGUAUUGUCUAUUCCUGGCCGUGCGAUCGCAAGUGGGCGCUGCAGAUUAGAUCUGCGCCAAGGUGAACCGGUACACAAUGAUAUUCGUCCGAUCGACGGUCGACGAUCCAGAUUUAAAAUAGCCUAAUCUAAUGUUGUCCGCCCAUUUUCCGAUCUCUGGCUCAGAUCGAAUAGGCGAAGAGAUCACUCAAAACCUAACCCUCACCGUUCCUGGACAGAGCAACGGUCCACGGUCGUUCUUCUUCUUCCCUCUCCCAGCGACUCACCACCCCCGACGACACCCCCACCACCGACGAACACGCGACGCCGGUGAUGGCCAAUCGGGCCCGCUACUGCACUAAACCCUAAUUAAAAGGUCCUACACGUUCGUAAGGAUAAAGCGAGCCAGUUGGAAGCUAUCUCACCGGUGACUAGGCGCUGGUUGAAGCUGCUCACGACGAGAGGCGGAUUCGCGGCGGCUUGAAAAUCACGGCGAGAAAUUGGCGAGGUUUCGCCCACCAAGUUGGCCUGGCGACAGCACGGACUCCUUCGGUGUGUCCCCGGGGAUACCCACGAUGAUUGCCGACGCCCCAGAGCCGGUAGCCGAGCAGACCACCCCGCGGCGGCGGCGCGAGCGAGAAUCCUGGCGGCGUCGCACUGGCAAUGCUCUGAUUCACCAAUUGCGCCAACCAGAGCUCCCACGACGACCAACCGACCGCCCAGAGCGACGAACGGAGGCGAGGCGACGGCGGCGGUCCCAACUCACACAGCGAAUCUCAAGCUCCCUUCUCUCUUGGCGGGUAAGUUCGGCGCGGCGGCUGAGGUUAAACGGAGAAGAGGUCUCGAGCGGUCGGUCAUAUACCCAGAGCGAGGUGGGCACAGGCGCCAACGGUCCCGGCCGACUCGCGCGGAGCCGUUGCGCGCGCGAUUCCGUCGCCGCGAAGACCGGUCGGGGAAGAGGACGGGUCUGCCAAGCGGGCCCGCCCAGACAGCGAUAGGGAAGCUAGCCGAUUGUAGAGCGGACGCUGGCGUGUGGUCCUGGCCGACAGGGCAGCGCAAGGCGACUGACAUCGCGACCCCAGGUGUCGGCGCAGUGGGUGUUUAGUUGGGCUGGCGCGAGGAUGGAAAUAGUUGUUGGGCCAGAUUAGGAGUCCGAGGCCCAGGUAAGGUUUUAAUCCUUUUCUUUUUAUUUUCUUUCCUAAUCUCUUUUCUUCCUUUCCAAAUUCAUAUUUCCAUUUCAAAUUUAAAUUCCACCCUUGUGUAAAGUUUAUCCACAGAUUAUAAGUGCAAUUUUAACAUACCCAAAAAUGAGAGGAAUUUAUUUAUUUAUAUAUUUAUUUUGCAUUGUACAAUAUUUAUUCCUUUCCUUCUCCAUUUUCAUGGUUUUGUUUUUAAUUUAGGGUUUGGAAGUCAUGGGCACAUUAUUACAUUGCUAUUGAUGCUUUUAUUUUUAUUAUCCACAAAUGCACAAUCAAAUAAACUCCAGCAUGAUGCACAGGUUAUCUAUGUGUUCUUUGUGUUAAUUAUCCACUUAUAACUAGGGUUGAUCACAUGUGAUGAUAAGUAGAGGACACAAAUUACUGAGAUUAUCUCUGUUCUCAUUAUUGCACUUUUGAGUAUUACAAAUCCUACCCCCCUUAAAAAUAAUCUCGCCCUCGAGAUUUAGGCAGAUCUAGGGAAAAGGUGGGGAAAAUCUAUACGAAGCUCUUCUUCUCUUUCCCAAGUUGCUUCAUCUUCACCGUGGUGACUCCAUUGAACUUUACACAUCUUUAUAACCUUAUUCCUUGUAACUCGAGUCAAAGUAUCCAAAAUCUUGAUGGGGUACUCAACAUAAGUCAAGUCCUCUUGUACACUCAGGUCUUCCAUUGGUAACUGUUCUUCAGGCACCCUGAGACAUUUCUUCAGCUGAGAUACAUGAAAUACAUCGUGAACAUCCGCAAGAUGAUCCGGUAACUCCAAUUGGUAUGCAACCUCACCCACUCGCUUUAAGAUUAAGAAGGAUCCAAUAAAGCGAGGGGACAACUUUCCUUUGACUUUGAAUCUCCUCAUACCACGAAGUGGUGACAUCUUGAGGUACACAUGAUCACCUUCCUCAAACUCCAGUGGUCUUCUUCUAUUAUCAGCGUAGCUCUUUUACCUGGUCUGAGCUACCCUCAAGUUCCCCCCUGAUUAUACAGACUUGUUCUUCUGCCUCUUGAAUAAGUUCAGGUUUAGAGAACUGUCUUCCUCUAGUCUGAUCCAAUAUAGAGGAGUCCUGCAUUUCCUGUCGUAUAGAGUCUCGAACAGUGACAUCUUUUAGACUGGUCUGGUAACUAUUAUUGUAUGAGCACUCAGCAUAAGGUAGACUCUUGUCCCAACUACUACCAUGCUGAAGGCCACAAGCUCUCAACAUGACCUCCAAUACUUGGUUAGUCCUUUUAGUCUGUCCAUCAGUCUGAGGAUGGUAGGUUGUGCUAGAAUUCAACUUCGUAUCCAUAUUCUCAUGAAAACUUUUCCAAAAUAUGGAGGUAAACUGUGAUCCUCUAUCCAAAAUGAUCUUCUUCGGUACACCAUGUAGAUACACAUUCUGAGCCAUAUAUACUCUUCCAAUUGAGAUCCCUUAUAAGUAGUCUUGACCGGAAUGAAAUGAACCACUUUGGUUAGUCUAUCCACAAUAACCCAUAUAGAAUCGUAUCCUUUCGAGGUGUGAGGCAAUCCAGUAAUGAAAUCCAUACCAAUCUCUUCCCACUUCCACUCGGGUACCAUAAGUGGGUGCAAUAGUCCAGCUGGCCUCUGGUGUUCAGCCUUAACUCUUUGACAUACAUCGCACAUGGCCACAUGUGCAGCUACAUCUCUUUUCAAUCCAUACCACCAAUACUUCCGCUUCAAAUCCUGAUACAUCUUAGUACUACCAGGAUGAAUAGAGUAAUCCGAGUCAUGGGCCUCUUUCAAUAUAAUCUCUCGAAGGCUUUUAAUAUCAGGAACACACAUCCUGUCCUUGAACCAUACGGUGCCCUGCUCAUCUUCCGUAAAUUCCGGAACUCGACCUUCAGUAAUCAGAUCCUUAAUCUCUUUUAUUUUAGCAUCACCAAUUUGUCCUUUGUGGAUCUCUUGCUCCAAAGUAGGUUCCACAUCAAUAGUAACUCCUUCAGUAUGAGCGACUAUCCCCAGGUUAAGUCUCCUGAAAUCCUCAACAAUCUCAUCGGGUAGCUGGGCAACAAUAGCUGAAUGAACAUGCUCCUUGCGACUCAAGGCAUCUGCAACCAAAUUUGCCUUGCCCGGGUGAUAGUGAAUCUCCAAAUCAUAAUCCUUAAUAAGCUCCAACCAACGGCGUUGCCUAAGGUUGAGAUCCUUCUGAGUGAAUAUAUACUUCAAACUCUUAUGAUCCGUAUAUACUUGGCACUUAGUCCCCAUAAUGUAGUGUCUCCAAAUCUUAAGUGCAUGCACAACUGCUGCUAGUUCCAAGUCAUGAGUGGGGUAGUUCAGUUCAUGCUUCCGCAACUGACGAGAUGCAUAGGCAAUCACAUGUCCUUCUUGCAUAAGCACACAUCCAAGUCCUUGGCCACAUGCAUCACAAUAAAUGUCAAAUCCCUUCUGUAGGUCUGGCAUAACCAAUACCGGUGGCGACAUCAACCUCUUCUUCAAUAGAUCAAAGCUGUCUUGACACUUCUCGUCCCACUUAAAUUCUUUUCCCUUCUCCAAAAGUGAAGUCAUAGGUUUAGCAAUCUUAGAAAAUCCUUCAAUAAAUCUCCGAUAAUAUCCAGCAAGUCCCAAGAAACUCCGAAUCUCAGUAACUGUAGUGGGUACUCUCCACUCCAUUAUCUCCUUAACUUUAGCAGGAUCCACUGAAAUUCCUCCAUUAGAAAUAAUAUGACCAAGAAAUGGCACCUCGCCAAUCCAAAACUCGCACUUGCUGAACUUGGCAUAGAGUUGAUUAUCUCGUAGCUUCUGUAGCACCAUCCUUAGAUGUUCCUCGUGAUCACUAUCACUCUGAGAAUAAAUAAGAAUAUCGUCGAUGAAUACCACGACGAAUCUGUCCAAAUACUCCAUAAACACCUUAUUCAUCAAGUUCAUAAAAUAAGCUGGGGCAUUGGUUAAUCCAAACGACAUAACAGUAAACUCAUAUAAUCCAUAUCGAGUCGAGAAAGCCGUCUUGGGAAUAUCCGAUGGUCUAAUCCUCAUCUGAUGGUAUCCCGAUCGGAGAUCAAUCUUCGAAAAUACUCUUGCACCUCUCAUUUGAUCAAAUAAAUCCUCAAUACGGGGCAACGGAUACUUGUUCUUCACUGUAACAUCAUUAAGAGAUCUAUAAUCCACACACAUCCGCUGCGAUCCAUCCUUCUUCUGUACAAACAAGACCGGUGCUCCCCAAGGUGAGGAACUCGGACGAAUGUACCCAGCCUCUUGUAACUCAGUUAACUGCUUCUUAAGUUCCUUUAGUUCUUCUACGGACAUCCUAUAUGGCCGUUUAGAAAUAGGGGCGGUUCUAGGUAAGAGGCCAAUAACAAACUCGACUUCUCUCUCAGGUGGCAUUCCUGGUAACUCCUCUGGAAAGACAUCCGGAAAAUCUCUAACCACCCGGAUGUUGUCACCAACAAACUCUCCGGUAUAAAGAACAUUGCACGCAUGGGUGAGGAGGUUACUGCAAUAUUAACUUGAAACCUUUCUCCCUUAGUAGUAGUGAGUUCUACGGUACCUCUACCACAUGCUAUAACGGCCUUUGCCUUUCUUAGCCAUGACAUACCAAGGAUCAAAUCUAUACUGCUUGACUCCAAUAUUAUAGCAGUAGCUCCAAAUUCUCUACCCAUAAUGGUUAAUGUCAAUCUACGUGUCAUUUGAUUCGCCACAAUAGGCCCUUUAGGUGUAAUUACUCUCACGGGUUUUCUCAUAUUGUCCAACACAUGUGCCCAAACCAAAAUCUCAACAUGACGCACAAUUUUAUUAGCCACUCGUGGGGUCAAAUAGACCUUUUUAUUCCUCCUAAAAUAGUAUCAUACCGAAUACUAACUAAAGGAACAUGUAGAUCUUACAAAUAGUAGUAAUUUAUAUAUAUGUUUAUGUAGCUUGGUGGAGCUGGUGGUGGUGGUGGAGGCAAUGGCACUUGUUGCUGCUGUUGCUGUUGUUGCAUUUGCUGUUGCAGUUGCUGCUGUUGCGCCCUCCUUUCUUGGCGUAUCUCAUCUCUCUCCUGGCGCAACUCCUGGCGUAUGUCUUCUCUUUCCUGACGCAUCUCUUGGCGUUCUUGCUGCAUCUGGGCACGCAUAUCAGCCAUAGUGUCCGCCAUUUGCUGCAUCACCGCCAUCUGAGCAGCAACCAGUGGGUCAACUCCGCCUGGUGGAGGAUUAGGGGGAUUCAUCUCUGCAGGCUGCGGCUGAGGUUGUCUAUAAAUUCUUCGAGUGUGUCGGUUAGGAGGCAAAUCAAUUCCACCACCCCUCCUGGUAUUGACCAUCUGAGUUAGAUACAUAUGGUAAGAAAGAGCAGUAGACAAGGCAGUAAUUACAAUCGUGUUACUUUGGGGGAUUUAUUAGCUAAGCAGAUUAAUAUUUCACCUACUAUAGCUAAUUCAAUACCUUAUGUUGGUACAUGCUAAGAUGUCCAUCUAUAAUAAUUCAAUCAAUCAAAGAAGCAAAUCAGACAUUUAGCAUCAGCACAAUCAACCAACAUUUUUUUAAGAAAAUAGUUUUAACUUUUGUUUCGGGUUCCCUAACUCUUAAGAAUGUCAUAGGGGUAGGGAUUCCAAGGUUUGAAAUCCAUCUUGUCUCAGAGUAGAAAAGGUAAGAAUGAUCAGAGUAGAACAGUAGAAGGUGAGAUAGGAUCAAGAUAAGGUAAGUAUGGAAUGAAUCAGAGUAAGAUAAGUAGAUAAGGGUUCUGUCCAUUUCUAUCUAGGUUUCGUCCUACAGUCAACAUUUGCCUCUGAUACCACUUCUGUAACACCCGGUUUUAAGGAACCAAGCCGGGUGCAUCUCAUACAUGCGCCAAGAAGACAACAUAUACAAUAACAGAGUGUAUAGAGAUAAAUGUCAUAAAACAUCAGAGUAUUUAUUACAUAGCGGAAGUCUUAUUACAAAAUAAAAUAAUAAAGAUAAAGCGAACUAAGGAUCGCCGGCGCCAAUGUCGACCGAGACACGCCACCUAGAUCAGAUCGAACUCCUCAGUGUUAGGCGGCUCCUCUUCGACCACCUGCUCUUCUCCUGUGGGGGGGGGGUGUGAGACAGCAAGAGUGAGCUCACAUACGUUCAUCGCUCAACAAGUUGUGGGGAAUAAUGUGGCAUAAACUCACCAAAGGUGGGAGUUCAUGUAGUGUAAGGCUGAUCAAUGAAACAGAGGUUGAGGCUGAGCAUUGCUUUUAUAAGUUGGUCAAAAUUUUAUUAGCAAUUACUAAGUGUAAGUAAAUACCAAACCUUAAUAAUAAUAAAGAACAGUAAUAGUAAAAUAAUCCCAAAUGCGAUGCAAAUGUCAAAUUGAAUUUAAGUUCCAUAAUUAAUCAUGUGAGGGUCCGAGCCGCUCUUGACCGUGAGCACGGCUAGUAUACUAGUUUUACACUCUGCAGAGGUUGCGCAUCUUUACCCACAAGUCGUGUAUCCCAUGUCGCCUGGGUUUGCAAGGCCCUUAGACACUACCGAGGUGAAUGGCUAGGGAUCCACUACGAGGCCUUUACAAAGUUCCACUAGCUUCCGAAAACCCGCUACAGUUUAUAGGAAGAUCCAGUACAGGGUUCCUGGCUGACAGCCAUCGCAGCAAAAUCAACCAGGGACCUCCCCGCACUGACCUCUCCCCUACUGCCCUUGCCCCUUUCGGGUAAGGUAGUCUUCCACUAGCUUUCCUAAUUAGUCAGCCAAGGGCGUCCCAUUAUACCCUUGUGGUAGCACUGUUUUCCCGGGUGGUCGCUCCAUGUUCCCAUUAAUUUAAUGAUCUUAACAUGAACAAUAAUAAUAACAAGUUAAUAACAGAAUAAUCAUGAAUAGUGUAUCUCCAUACCCAAUCCACAUAAAGCAAUAGCAAGUACUACCCAAAAAUAUUUCAGGGGUGAACAAGGUAUAGAGGUAAUCAAAACUGGGGUAACAUAAAGGCUCCCAUCAAAAUUAUCCUAUGCAGAUCAUUAAAAUUAAUAAGAACAUGGCUGGGAAAGUAAGUGAUCAAGGGCACAACUUGCCUUCAAUGAGCUCCUGCUCAGCUACUUCUACCUGCUGAACCUCAGUUUCCACAGUGGCUUGCUCGUCUAUUCGCAUCAACACAAUACAUACAUAGUAUAGCAUAAAUUAACAUCACAUCAAACAUGUAAAUAAAAUAUACAGUAAAAAUCUACACAUUAAAAUGAGAUCAUUGGAACUGGAAUUAUUAAAUUUGGAGUUAUAGAUUUCAAGUUAUGAAUUUCCUAAGGUUUAAUGUGAUUAAAAUAGGAUUAGAUGAUAAAUUAAUUUUCUAACUGAGUUCAUGUCAAAACAGUGAUACUAAAUGAUAGAGAAUCUUAUUACAAAAUUUUAGAAAUUGGAAUGGUUCAAUUUGGAGCUAAAAUGAAUUUUCUAUGAAUUUUACAAGUUUCUAGAUUUGUUUUUGUAUUAAAAAUGAAUUUCUAAUAUUAUUUCUCUGUUUUUAAACGUCUCUGGACUGGGCCUCAUUUUGCAGAAAGGUCAGGGGCUAGCGCAGAAGAUUCCCUAGACUCAGUAAAUAGUGAAUGAGGAUGGCGGGUUUAUUCUAAAGUAACAGAGGGUCUUUUCUGUGAAAUGUGUAUGGCGAAGGGGUAUUGUCUAUUCCUGGCCGUGCGAUCGCAAGUGGGCGCUGCAGAUUAGAUCUGCGCCAAGGUGAACCGGUACACAAUGAUAUUCGUCCGAUCGACGGUCGACGAUCCAGAUUUAAAAUAGCCUAAUCUAAUGUUGUCCGCCCAUUUUCCGAUCUCUGGCUCAGAUCGAAUAGGCGAAGAGAUCACUCAAAACCUAACCCUCGCCGUUCCUGGACAGAGCAACGGUCCACGGUCGUUCUUCUUCUUCCCUCUCCCAGCGACUCACCACCCCCGACGACACCCCCACCACCGACGAACACGCGACGCCGGUGAUGGCCAAUCGGGCCCGCUACUGCACUAAACCCUAAUUAAAAGGUCCUACACGUUCGUAAGGAUAAAGCGAGCCAGUUGGAAGCUAUCUCACCGGUGACUAGGCGCUGGUUGAAGCUGCUCACGACGAGAGGCGGAUUCGCGGCGGCUUGAAAAUCACGGCGAGAAAUUGGCGAGGUUUCGCCCACCGAGUUGGCCUGGCGACAGCACGGACUCCUUCGGUGUGUCCCCGGGGAUACCCACGAUGAUUGCCGACGCCCCAGAGCCGGUAGCCGAGCAGACCACCCCGCGGCGGCGGCGCGAGCGAGAAUCCUGGCGGCGUCGCACUGGCAAUGCUCUGAUUCACCAAUUGCGCCAACCAGAGCUCCCACGACGACCAACCGACCGCCCAGAGCGACGAACGGAGGCGAGGCGACGGCGGCGGUCCCAACUCACACAGCGAAUCUCAAGCUCCCUUCUCUCUUGGCGGGUAAGUUCGGCGCGGCGGCUGAGGUUAAACGGAGAAGAGGUCUCGAGCGGUCGGUCAUAUACCCAGAGCGAGGUGGGCACAGGCGCCAACGGUCCCGGCCGACUCGCGCGGAGCCGUUGCGCGCGCGAUUCCGUCGCCGCGAAGACCGGUCGGGGAAGAGGACGGGUCUGCCAAGCGGGCCCGCCCAGACAGCGAUAGGGAAGCUAGCCGAUUGUAGAGCGGACGCUGGCGUGUGGUCCUGGCCGACAGGGCAGCGCAAGGCGACUGACAUCGCGACCCCAGGUGUCGGCGCAGUGGGUGUUUAGUUGGGCUGGCGCGAGGAUGGAAAUAGUUGUUGGGCCAGAUUAGGAGUCCGAGGCCCAGGUAAGGUUUUAAUCCUUUUCUUUUUAUUUUCUUUCCUAAUCUCUUUUCUUCCUUUCCAAAUUCAUAUUUCCAUUUCAAAUUUAAAUUCCACCCUUGUGUAAAGUUUAUCCACAGAUUAUAAGUGCAAUUUUAACAUACCCAAAAAUGAGAGGAAUUUAUUUAUUUAUAUAUUUAUUUUGCAUUGUACAAUAUUUAUUCCUUUCCUUCUCCAUUUUCAUGGUUUUGUUUUUAAUUUAGGGUUUGGAAGUCAUGGGCACAUUAUUACAUUGCUAUUGAUGCUUUUAUUUUUAUUAUCCACAAAUGCACAAUCAAAUAAACUCCAGCAUGAUGCACAGGUUAUCUAUGUGUUCUUUGUGUUAAUUAUCCACUUAUAACUAGGGUUGAUCACAUGUGAUGAUAAGUAGAGGACACAAAUUACUGAGAUUAUCUCUGUUCUCAUUAUUGCACUUUUGAGUAUUACACCGUCCCCUAGCCUUUCCCGACUCCUCCCCUCUGCCUCACUCCAUCGUCGUCGUUGGGCCCGGGUCCAGAGGCGGAAGGCUAGGUGGGGGCAAACCCUAACCCCUCCCUUUUCUUCCAGCCGCCGCAACCUCUAUUCUCCCUCUGCCCCUCGAUAGCGCUCCCGUCGAUGCCCACCUCUCUCUUCUGCAGGCGGUGAUGGCAGCCACAGCAGAAAGCCGACGCUCGGCGUGAUUCCCACCCGUCGCGAGCCAAGAGGUUCGAGGUCAUUUUUGAGCCAAGAGGUUCGCGGCCACGGGAGCAACCCUACAGAACCAUCACCACCACCGCUCUCUCUUCCUCUGCUCUUCAAUGCCUGCCUGAGCUCACCGCACCUCGCCUCCUCACCGCGGAUCCUCCGUUAAUCCGGUAACUCUCUCACCAUCUCUGCAUUCACCCUAGAGUCCCUCUCUGCCUGCUCCUGCCAGCGCGUGGCGCGGGGGCGUGGUGCGGCUCUCCAAGAUUCGCCUAGCAUUGCUCGCUCGGGGUCGUGCCAAGCCGAUUCGAUCUCGCGCUUGCGCACUCCUGCCGUGGAUCCGGCUAGAUCUUGCUAGAAUUGGGGCGUGCGUUUAUUUCAAAUGCAGCAGAUCCGCGUGCUUGCGCGCGUGAUCUGGCGUCGUCGCGGGCCUUUCGUUAACGAAAUGCAUGGCCCGAUCUGUGGUUUGGUGGUCAAUGCCAUGUUUUUUUUUCUUACUGUCUUCUGCUGGGAGCAAAACAGAAACAGAGAAUAGCUUCAAUUGAUGCCUUUUAGAACGGAUUCUGUAGAGCAACUCAUGGACACUUUCUUCUUGUUUUAACAAACGUGGCAUCGGGCGAGCUCUGGUGUAGGUAGAAAAUGGCCGAUGCCGAGGAUAUCCAGCCCCUCGUCUGCGACAACGGAACUGGCAUGGUCAAGGUAAGCCACCGGUUUGGUCACAUCUGUUCUUGAGAAUGCAAGGUUCUCGGUGGCUGCUGGGGCCCUAACAACAACACCAACCUCGGCAGGCUGGGUUCGCUGGCGACGACGCCCCGAGGGCCGUCUUCCCCAGCAUCGUGGGGCGCCCGCGCCACAUUGGUGUCAUGGUCGGGAUGGGGCAGAAGGACGCCUACGUCGGUGACGAGGUGCAGUCCAAGAGGGGUAUCCUGACCCUCAAGUACCUCAGCUUACACAUCACAUUAUUCCCCACAUUACAGCAAUCAGUGCAACAAUCAGAGCAUUUAUUUAGGUAUCCUGCAAGUAGUAGUAGUGUUAUGCGUGUUCUAAUAUUCUAUGUCACAAAUGUAAAUCAUUUUAUUAAUUGGGCACAAAAUUAUUUAACAUUGCUGCACUGAUUGUUGUUCCUGAAUUUAAGAAAAUCUUUAUGUGAUACAAGUUCCAGAUGUUGUUGUGGCGUUAAUGCCAAUAUGUGAGGCUUUUGGGUCAAUACCACCGCCUCCUAAUCACAAGUCUACCAUUCAUGGUGAAAUAUCUGUUUAUAGAGUCUUCUCUUGUGCAUUUCUUUGUCUUCUUCGCUUGUGGAAGUUUUAUAGACCUCCUCAAGAGUAUUGUAUUGCUGGUCGUGGAGGCUCAGUAAAGCUGGAACUGACUCUGGACUAUCUGUUGUUGAUGCACAAUAAUCACAUUGAGUUCUCAAAUUCGUCUGCCUCUAAUAGGGAUUCUUGCAAUGAUAUGGGCUCAGUAAAUGAGGUUCCUGCUCAGCCGAUUUAUAUUGAUUCUUUUCCCAAGCUAAGGGCUUGGUAUUUCCAGAAUCAAGCUUGCAUCGCUUCUCCACUUUCUGGUCUUUGCAACAAAAACACUCUUCAUCAAUUUUAGUAUGACAUUGAUUCAGACUGUUGCUUCUGAAACCAUUUUUACAGGUUCUGCAAACCGAUCAUAACAAAACCAAAGGUAGCUUUGAAGCCGCAGACUCUGUCUCCACAACCUGAAGCCCAAGCACCUCAUGAUCCUCAAACACCAGAGCAACAACAAAGCGGGACUGGUGUAGGUGUGUAGCUGGUGAGCCGGGUAGUGAAGGAGGUGUGUACCAGGCCUCCAGUGAGCAAAUGGGCAUGGUGCCAGAUGCAUCUGCGGCCGGUGGCAGGAAGGUCGAGCUGGAUGGGGACAUGCGAUGGACAUCACAGGUUGGCCCCUCCAGUGAUCCAUCUCAAACACUAGCCAGGUUUCCUCCUUUGCCACCCUCCUUUGGCAGUUCUCUUCCUAACGUCGCCGUAGGUUCCCUUCCCUACUAUUUUUGUCUCCCAUAGCUCUUAAAAUUUUAAGUUCCCUGUUUGCAUAAAGGCCACAGGAAAAACGUUGAAUCAAAGCAAACUUGAUGCUUACCAAAAGCAUGUUCGAUGAGUUACUCAGAUUCAUGGCCCAGGAAUUGAAUCUACACGGUUUAAUAACUAUUUGCAUGGCUCUAAAUGCUUAAUUAGGUUUGCUCAUCGUUCCUCAGUGCUACUUCAUCUUGAUUUUCUGCUGAGUAUACAGGGGAUGAAUGAGGCUGCUCAUGGUGGACAGAACAGAAGACGAAAUGAAUCGCAAGGGGAAACUAACAUGCGAGAGAGGAGGAGGUAGCCACAACCAAAGAGCUUGGUUCAAUACUUCAAUGUAAUCUCUAAUUGGUAUUUGGUUCACAAUGUAUGGUAGUUAUGCGCACCUUUUAAUCUGUAGUAUGUUUUUAGUGCUAGAUUUGAACUAACAGUUUAGAGGGAAGGUACUUAUGGUUCCAUUCAAGCACUAUAAUGCCUUAGAUGAUAUAUUAUUGGUGGCAUUUUGUGUAACUCAAUAAGUUCAGCAGGGCUUAGGUACACAUGGACAGAUUUUGGGAACACUAACCUUCGCAUUACUACUACGUGUUUCUUAGACAUAAUUGUUUCUGUUGAACAAUUAGAAAGAAAUCCAACCAGGAACAUGAUUUAAUUAUUAAUCACUGUUUUUUAAGCUUAUAGGCUUCACAUAUUUUUAAAAUGAACCGUUCCUAGGUGCAUUUUGUAUUCUAACCAGCUCUAUUGUUAUGGUCAUAAUCGUUAAUCAGUAAAUUUGUUGUGUAUUUAGGGCUAGAAUAAUGAACGAUAUGAAGAUCAGGUAGCAUUAUAUAUGUCAAUAAGAAGCAGAGGAGAGAAGCAGCCCGCAUCGCAGGAGACAAGGACUUCACUUGUUUGGCCAGUUCAGGACUUCAGGUAACAGACUAAGUGGCUAACAACUAGCAAAUAGAAUAGUGAAUAACAUGUUCUGUGUAUUUCUGAAUCCUAAUUAUUUUUUGCUUUAGUUUAAAAUCUUCUCAAGUAUCUAAUGAUAAAUAGCAAAUAUAUUGUCCAUUUAUUAACAUAUAAAUUUUUUGAUGGCUAGGAUUGUAGCGAUGAGGCAGGUGAACUUGAUCCACUGAUUUUCGAAAAGAAAUCACACUGAAAAGAAACAAGAGAAUAGGAAACAUAACUACAAAUAGGAUAUAUCUGAACCCUACACUGUAAAAUCUGGUUAUACGUUUCCUAAAGUAAAUUCAAACAAUAAUACGAAAUAAUAUGUCUGAACCUCAUAACUGAAGUGAUGGGAAUGUUUUCUAAUGACUAAAUUGCUGGAACAUACUUAAAAGUUCUUUAGUUCCACGGACAUUGAAGUUGUGUAUAUGAAGCAACCAUCACAUCUGGGAGAUAAUUAGGCAGACAGGCUUAAGAAAAUUCCAACACUAAUGUUCUAUCGCUAACUUCUUGGUUAGGAUGCUGUCGAUGAUGUCCAUGCUAUAUUCCCUCGCUUCAUGCUUAACAAUGAGGGAGAGACUAAGUGAGGUAACACUGCUUGUCUUUGUUUAUGCUUAAUCUCCCUGGUAUUGUACUUGCUUCCCUGCCUGAACUGAACCUUCAGGUGGCUGUUUAGCAGGGGCUGAAGGCCGUUGGUGCUGUCAGAAUGUUUUUUUGGAGUUUUGGUGGAUGAUGCUCAGUGACUGCAAUGCAAAGGAUCCUUCUGUUUUGUAUAUUGAAUGAGAUUACAUCACUGUUUUUUCUUAGCGAUAUGUUGAGCUCAUGUGCUCGUUUAUGUUAGUCGAUCUCUGGCUCUUGUAGUAACUUGGAAAGCUUGCUGCUUUUUUUAAGGGCAUACAUGCCUGUGAUAUGUGGUCAUGAUCAUUUUUCUCUCCUGUUAUUUUAGUUGUCGUAUCAUAAAUGCCAUGUUUGCAUUGGUGUUCCAACAUGUCAAUAUUAUUGAAUAAAUGUUUGCAUUAGCGGCAGCGGGGACGACGCUAAGUCGAGCAAUGGCAAAGCGGCCCGUGGUGGCAGUAACGGUGGAGAGAAGCAGGGGGAUGAAUCCAACGGUGGCGGGAUACUUAGCGUUGUGGCUUCCAGGAUUGGCGUGGUCGUGUCCGGCGCCAACGGGGACCGCAGCGGCAGCGCUGAGGAUGGUGCCAAGACGAGCGCUGGCGACCCUGGUCACGGUAGCAAGGGCGAGGAGAAGGGGCGUGGUGUGAACGGUGGUAGAAUAGUCGAGCAGAUCAUUUCCAAUCUGCCCUCAGGUAUAUGAUUACGGAAGCUACACUUUGUGAGGAAAAUAUAUAGACCAUUCGUGAGUCGUGACAUCAUUUUGUAUUGGAGUUUGAACUGACAAUCUUUUUUUCCUCUCUCUUUACUGCAGAUGAUCAGGCGCCUGAUGCCGAUGAAGCUUCCUUGCUCAUCGCCAUUAUCGAAGAUUAGCUCCAUGUUCCGAAGGCUCUCUAGGUCGUCCUCAAUGCCAGGAUCAAAUCAUCAGCUGAGCCGGAGACUGAAAACAAUAAAGAAAAGCAAGCAGCUGGUCAUAGUAAACAUCAUGUAGCGAGGCUUAGCAGAUUGCUUUUUUUCACGUUAGAAUCAGUCCACAUGUCCUCGACACGGGCUAGAUUUGUUCUAGGAUUAUUUUUCCAGUAGUAAGCCAUGUAUCCAUGGACAGUCCACAGCGCGACGUCUAAUGUAACAUCAUCAAGGUUCUUUUGACUAUCCCAUAAGAAACCAUUCCUUAAGACAACCGAUAUUGUGAGUUGAUAACCAACAACUAAUGUUAGCAUGCGAUUGUUCUGCAAAACAACUAUGCCCUCUUUCUGUAUCACUUCCUUUUCUCUUUUAUACUAUGAAAAGAUCUUACAUGGUACUGCAUGAUGACCCUUAUAACUUAACAAAUCAUUAUUGGACAGAAAUGAUGCUUUCAUUUCAGACAAGCCGUAAGAACUACUGUGGCUGGCAAUUUUAUGUGGCAAUGACAAAAUCAAAGAUUUAAUUAUCGAACUAUACAUUUAUCCUGACACAUUUAUUGCGUUGACGGAUAAAAUGCAGAAGGAUGAAAGGAGUUCUGUGUGGAUCACUUGGUUACAUGAGCAGCGAAGGGAAGAACAACAAACGUUCAAUGACUUCAGUCAGCAUCGCCAACAGAUUACAACAAUAAAUAGAGACCCGUUGGCUACAGAUGUCGAGAAUAACAUAAAACACAUUCGAGAACAACAACUCUGGUCAAUGUCAUCGUGCAUCGAUAUUGAUCAGGGUAGAUCUCUUAGGCGUUCCGGUAGUUCAGUAAUUACGAAUCCACUGGGAAUAAGUAAAAAAAAUUAGGUUACAGUCCUUCAUGAGUUGUAGAUGACUGAAUGUUGCAAACAAUCAGGUUCUUCUGCCAAUGCUGCUCAUGCUCAGCUAAGGCUCUGAUCCAUAGGGAUUGAGGGGAUCAAAUCCCCUACAAGUCAAAAUCCUCUUUAAUCCCUUCCAAUCCACCUCAAUCCCUAUGGUUUUGGAAUCAAACAAACAUGGCCAUUUCAAGUAUGCCGAUCAAAGAACUUCUCAAUUGCCACUGAGAACGCAGCAAACCCCACACAUCCAAAGCAUGUAGCUUUAGGGCCACCUGUAAACAUAUAAAAUCCCUUAGUGUGAUAUUGAUAAUGUUUUCCACACGGAUUUUGCAUAUUAUAGUGAUGUUUGUCGUUCCGUAUUAAUGUUUCAUACAAAUCUUUUACUUCCGUCGCAACGCACGGACACAUAUCUAUAACAUACAACAGAGACAUGUAAGUUAUCGUAUUAUAAUUCGGUUCUGUUGCAACGCACGGGCACCCUACUAGUAAUAAACUAUAUGUAUUUAUUAAAAGGAAGAACUACCUUAGAGUUAUUCUGAACGUCAUAAGAAGAAAGCGUUGAAUUGUCCUCUAUCAACUUCUCAUUGUGAUGUGUCAAGCAGUA